CUCCGUGUCUUUUCUUCAUAUAAACAUUUCUACCUGUAGCCAAGACGACAGUUGCAGGUAAAAAAUACUAAGCUAGCCCCGAAUAACCUCCGUCCAUUCCGCUCCGAGCUUAGCCAGCUUUGAAUUUUAUCAGCUUCCGGUUAUAAAUCGAUAUUUUCGGGCCAUUGGGAUCGGAUCGAAGAAGUUAAAACCUUUCCCAGGUAACGGGCGUCCGUACAGCGUGGGAAGGCGAUAUCGAGUGUAUGGAAGCGGCCUAUUAUCAAAUUUGGUGACGGUAUUAAUGGCCACGGAACAGUCGAUUUCCAGGCGAAGGUAACAGCGUCAGUAAGAACCACGCUAUUUUUAGGUGAUGCGCCUGUGGGUAGAUAGUUUUCAGUUUGGAAUAAAUAUUCGAUUCAAUUUACUCGGUUUGACGGCCAAUCGGGCAGCCUGUGGAGAACGACUUAAAACGACAACUGUUGGAACUGUUAGAAUCGAUUGGAAUGCGCGAAACAUCACGGCGCAGCCCAUCAUGGCGUAUAUCAGAGGCGUUCGAUCCGUCGAUGGCGGAGCCAUCUCUCGUUUCUUCCUCCCGACAAAUUUAAUUAAAACCGAAAACAGAAUCGUUUAUUUAUGAUUAUUUUUUAAUUUUCUUUAAGUGUAUGGUUACUGUUAGUUUAUUUUUCGUUAAAAUAGUCGAACUAAUAAUUUUCUGUUCAUUCGGAAGUAGAGGCGCCAAAAGUUUCCGAUAUUAAUUGAUACGGGACCAAAAAUUGUGUGGUGUUGGAGUGGACGUACCGGUCGGAAUCCGCUUUUUCGAAUUUCGGCCUGAUAAAAGAUGGAUAAACCAAAUUACAAACCGUGGUCCGCUAGAGGCCGCUUCUCGCUAUGGACCCGACUACCAAAAUACGAGCGGCUCCCAACCACGCCAAAUUUCGUAUUAACCCUUUUUUGUUUUAAUCAUCCGGCAUUUCCUGUAACUGAUCAGUUGGUAAUCGAUCCGUUGUUUUUUCUAACUCCAGUUUCCAAAACAGAGAAAUAAAUAUUUUGUUCCAAUAUCUUUGUUUUAUUUGUGGAAUCAAAACAAUUAAAAGCGCUAAAUAAAUUUUUAAAUACACGGAUAAAGUUUUCAGUUUCUUUAAAGUUUUUGGGGCUGGGAGAGUGGGUCCUUCCCAGCCAGUCAGACUGUUUAACUGCGCAGUCGUACUAAAUCAGAUACGGGGUGGGGAAGGUGAUGUAUACCGGAGAGCGGAUGGCCGAAUAACUUAGUGCGGAAAGACGGCCGGCCUAGUAAGAAAGGUCGAACACCACUGGUAUACGUUAUAGACAGGUGGAUAAUUUACUAAAUGUUAAAAUGGUGUGGAUACGGUAAUUUUUAUUCGGAGCCGAUAGCUUGUUUGUCAAAAUUGUCAUUAUUUUAUGGCAAUUUGUUAUAAGAUGGCCAAGAAUUUAGCGGCGCAGCGAUAUAAAUGAACUGGGGUUGUCCGGUAGACUCGGUACCGUCUUCCGACGCGGUCGGUGGUCGGGUAGUAGAUAAAACGGUAUUUUGGCGCCAAACAGCGGACUGGGACGCCUGGGGCCCGUUAAGCCUGGAUAUCGAGAUUUAGAUGGUAGCUUCUUUUAAAGCCAUUCUCUUUUCCAGCCAGUAGUAGCCUUUUAUCUUCUCUUUAUAUUUUGGCUUAAAAUUUGGCUAGCCUAAUUUGGGUGGCGCUGGGAAAAAGUGGAGAAGCGCGCGCUAUAAAAUAAUAAGGAGAGAGUAAGAUACCGUCAUUUUGCCUCGGACCGAUAUAAUUUGGUGGCCAAUUAUACGGUGGAGCCGUAGUAGAAAACGAGCGCCGGC
RNAcentral lists this long non-coding RNA (1819 nucleotides) under Androctonus crassicauda. The record is from RNAcentral. Lineage: Eukaryota; Metazoa; Arthropoda; Arachnida; Scorpiones; Buthidae.